AAGCAAGUCUGAAUAGGGCGCUAAGUCACUAUAUAUAGACCCGAACCCGGAUGAUCUAACCAUGACCAGGAUGAAACUUCAGUAACAUGCAGUGAAGGUCCGAACCGACCGAUGUUGAAAAAUCGGCGGAUGAGUUGUGGUUAGGGGUGAAAUGCCAAUCGAAUCCGGAGCUAGCUGGUUCUCCCCGAAAUGUGUUGAGGCGCAGCGUUAAAUAAAGGGCUUUCUAGGGGUA
RNAcentral lists this ribosomal RNA (232 nucleotides) under Picochlorum sp. RCC944. Its description in RNAcentral is "partial Bacterial large subunit ribosomal RNA". It matches the Rfam family "Bacterial large subunit ribosomal RNA", at positions 675 to 904 of the family's 2925-position model. Lineage: Eukaryota; Viridiplantae; Chlorophyta; Trebouxiophyceae. The record is from RNAcentral.